Molecule: ribosomal RNA, 564 nt
Filed under: uncultured Glomeromycotina
Lineage: Eukaryota; Fungi; Glomeromycota
Description: SSU rRNA
Rfam family: Eukaryotic small subunit ribosomal RNA
Source: RNAcentral
UUGGAGGGCAAGUCUGGUGCCAGCAGCCGCGGUAAUUCCAGCUCCAAUAGCGUAUAUUAAAGUUGUUGCAGUUAAAAAGCUCGUAGUUGAAUUUCGAGACCGGCUUACUGGUCGUGCUAUUGUGCGUACUGGUAUAAUCGGUUUCUCCUUUCUGACGAACUAUAAUGCCAUUAAUUUGGUGUUAUAGGGAAUCAGGUCUGUUACUUUGAAAAAAUUAGAGUGUUUAAAGCAGGCUCACGCUUGAAUACAUUAGCAUGGAAUAACGGAAUAGGACGUUUGAUUCUAUUUUGUUGGUUUCUAGGAUCGACGUAAUGAUUAAUAGGGAUAGUUGGGGGCAUUAGUAUUCAAUUGUCAGAGGUGAAAUUCUUGGAUUUAUUGAAGACUAACUACUGCGAAAGCAUUUGCCAAGGAUGUUUUCAUUAAUCAAGAACGAAAGUUAGGGGAUCGAAGACGAUCAGAUACCGUCGUAGUCUUAACCAUAAACUAUGCCGACUAGGGAUCGGAUGAUGUUAAUUUUUUAAUGACUCAUUCGGCGCCUUACGGGAAACCAAAGUGUUUGGGUUC